AUUGAACGCUGGCGGCAGGCCUAACACAUGCAAGUCGAGCGAGCGGCGGACGGGUGAGUAAUGUAUGGGGACUGCCCGAUAGAGGGGGAUAACUACUGGACACGGUGGCUAAUACCGCAUACUAUCGGAUAACCCAUAUGGGAUUAGCUAGUAGGUGGUGUAAAGGUUCACCUAGGCGACGCUCUCUAGCUGGUCUGAGAGGAUGAUCAGCCACACUGGGAAUGAGAAACGGCCCAGACUACUACGGAGGCAGAAGUGGGGAAGAGUGCACAAUGGGAGCAAGCCUGAUGCAGACAUGCCGCGUGUAUGAAGAAGGCCUUAGGGUUGUAAAGUACUUUCAGCGGGGAGGCGUUACCCGCAGAAGAAGCACCGGCUAACUCCGUGCCAGCAGCCGCGGUAAUAC
RNAcentral lists this ribosomal RNA (403 nucleotides) under uncultured bacterium. RNAcentral's name for it is "partial 16S ribosomal RNA". It matches the Rfam family "Bacterial small subunit ribosomal RNA", at positions 30 to 526 of the family's 1533-position model. The record is from RNAcentral.